CUAAGAUAUAAAGGGGCAGCCUGUGUUGCCCAGAUGUUGUCACACUGCCCACUCUCAUCAUGCCUGACUGUUGGUCAUGCUGGCUGGAGCUGAAAGGAGUUGGAGUCCCACAUCUGGAAGACCACAGGUUCUCCAUCCCUGCCCUAAGAUCUACUGCAACGUAUUGUUUGACGUGACACUGUCAUAGUGUGGACAUUGUCACACUGGAGGGAACCUCCCACAGUGAUAGUUUCAUGCAAAGAGGUGGACUGUCGAAGAUGUUACAAUGGACAACCAAGACGAGGACAGCCUUGUGUAGUGGCAACCAUACUUUGUUCUUCACACUUGAAAAAGGGAGGUGAGAAAUGCAGCCUUUCUUCUCUGUGCUGGCAUAUCGCUGGAUAAGCUUGUUUCACUGACUUCUCAUAUAUGUGUGUACAAGAAUAUGAGGAGUCUUGUAUCUCGUUCAGAGGCCCUUGGCUCUCUGACAUGUGUGAGUCUCUUGCCCGUGGCAACACUGCCUUGGGGGGGGGGGGGACAGAAAGACGAUGCCAGGGCAAUAUAAAGGCAAAGCUAAAAUGAUUGAGUCUAAGUGGCAGAACCUAUAUGUGUCUUUUAAGACAUCUGACAGCCAAACUGCACAUCCCAAGUUAUACUCAGGCACAUAAUUAGAGAUGACAGAGAAGUUCUUUAGAGCCAGUCUAAGAGAUCAACUCUGAGGGAUGGUAAAGCCCCUAUCAAACAAGAGAGAAACUUUUAAAGCCCUCAAAUUAUUUGCCUUCUCAGAUCAAAAUCUGAGCCGAAGAAUUCUGAGUGUCAUACCUAUUGGAUAUUCUGUGUGUGAGAGAAUCAUUUGUUCCCGAAACAGGGAAGAACAGAGAAGAAGUUUCAAGAAGCAGCAAAAGGCUGAGAUUGUUUUGUCUAUGCAAGGACAUUUUCUGUGGGAACCGUUCCUUGGACAUGCGCAGUAUGACAGGAAGUACUGAUAUCAAUGGUUCUGUGUAACUUGUUGCAACUUGUUGUAAGUCUCUUGCUUGCGUCUUGCGGUGAGAGAAGCAGAGAGAGAGAGUCUUGGACUCUUGUUGGACUCUAAGCAUGCCUUGACCAUGACAGUCUGUAUAUAUUUGCUAC
Podarcis lilfordi (Lilford's wall lizard) is the source of this 1110-nucleotide non-coding RNA. NCBI's taxonomy places the organism in Eukaryota, Metazoa, Chordata, Lepidosauria, Squamata, Lacertidae. The record is from the annotation of a GenBank genome assembly.